This 202-nucleotide long non-coding RNA is filed under the name Hordeum vulgare. RNAcentral's name for it is "long non-coding RNA (HVUL_LNC016507)". Lineage: Eukaryota; Viridiplantae; Streptophyta; Magnoliopsida; Poales; Poaceae. The record is from RNAcentral.
UAGAGGGAGUGUGCGAUGUUUGAUCACAUCAACCUUGGAAACACUUCCAACACACAUCGUCACCUUGCUUUUAGCUAGUCUCCAUUUAUUCUAUAGCUUUUAUUUCGAGUUACUAACACUUAGCAACUGAACCGGUAUCCAAUACCCUGGUGCUACUAGGAGUACUAGUAAAGUACACAUCAAUAUCAUGUAUAUCCAAUAU